This is a long non-coding RNA of Solanum dulcamara, 297 nucleotides long. RefSeq lists it as uncharacterized. The record is from RefSeq and is a predicted model, not a curated record. Lineage: Eukaryota; Viridiplantae; Streptophyta; Magnoliopsida; Solanales; Solanaceae. The transcript has 3 exons.
AAAACGUCACCAAACAGCCCCAAAGUUUUAGCCGCGCUAGGAGAGCUUCCGAGGCAAGUUUUGGAGAGUUUCGGUAAAGACUAACAAGUUGGAAGAAUAAGAAAAGCUAGUAAGGCGCGGUACAGGUACACCUAGACAAGUAGAAGCUAUUAUAGAAGAUGUUCCAGCGGGGUUAGCAACUCCACUUGUUCCUAGGGUGCUGCCGAGUCAGAUUAUAAACGCUAUGAUAUUUCAUUCGAAGUUAGAGACCUUGCAGACAGAGUCGUGGGUAUAGAGUGUCAGCUUUCUAAGCGGCGU